AUGGGGGUGGGGAGCCUCGCGUCCAUCCCAGGGCCGCAGUGCCCCAAGCCCCGCGGGCCCACGUGGCCUGGUCACCCCGCAGUCACCCAGCAGGCUGGGCACGGGCACCUCCCGGGGCGCACCCCCCCGCCCCCAGGGAAUGCACCUGCCGCAGGGUCCGGGGCGUACCCAGGAGCCUCGUACCUUCCAGCAUGGGCCAGGGCACAGGCGGGGCACAGCACCUCUCAGGGCGCCCCCCCACCCCCCCACCUCCCGGGGAUGCACCUGCCGCGGGGGGCCCGGGCCGCACCCAGGAGCCACGUACCUUCCCACACGGGAGGCGGCGGAGCAGCACCGCCCUCGGGCCGGGGCGCAGGCGGGGCACAGCACCUCUCGCCCCCACCCACCCCCCAGGAUGCACCUGCCGCAGGGCCUAGUACCUUCCCGCGUGGGCCGGGGCGCAGGCGGGGCACGGGCACCUCCCGGGGCGCCCCCCCCCUCCCGGGGGAUGCACCUGCCGCGGGCCCGGGCCGCACCCAGGAGCCUCGUACCUUCCUGCGCUGGAGGCGGCGGAGCAGCGCCGCCCUGGGUCCGGGGCGCAGGCGGGGCGGGGGGCAGCUCCCGGGGCUCCGGGCCCCCCUUGCCCCGGGGACAGGCCGGCCGGCGCCCCGGGGCCCCCGCGGAGGGCGAGUCGGGCCCCGGGCGCUGCGCGGGCGGCGGCUGCACCCAGGCGGCCCUGUGCCUCCGCAGCCUGGCGUCGGGCGCGCAGCGGGGCCGCUCGAGGUGCGGGGAGCUGCGCGGGCCGCCCGGGUCGCCGGGGCCCCUGCCGGCCCUCCCGCGGGCCUCCCCGGGGGCCUCGGGCCCGCCCGCCGACUGGGACACCAUCUCCCGGGCUCGGGGCUGCAGGUGUCAGCGGCCGCGGGGCUAGCGGACUCGGGCCUCGAACUCGCCACGCGGCCGGCGGGCCGGGGCCGGGCAGCAGCGAACCUGCGAGGGGCAACAAACAAGAAAUGGUUGGACACGCAGAGGACGGCAGUCAUUGCUUCACUCCAAAUCGUGGGAGGAAAAGAAACAAAAAACACACAGGUUUGUACUUGA
This 1077-nucleotide long non-coding RNA is filed under the name Canis lupus familiaris (dog). RNAcentral's name for it is "lncRNA (ENSCAFG00000052773.1)". Lineage: Eukaryota; Metazoa; Chordata; Mammalia; Carnivora; Canidae. The record is from RNAcentral.